Non-coding RNA from Acanthosepion pharaonis, 112 nucleotides. The record is from the annotation of a GenBank genome assembly. NCBI's taxonomy places the organism in Eukaryota, Metazoa, Mollusca, Cephalopoda, Sepiida, Sepiidae.
UUACGGUCAUAUCACGUUGUAACACCGGUUCCCGCACGCUGACUGCAGUUAAGCAACGUCGAGCCUGGUCAGUACUUAGAUAGUGACCGCUUGGGAAUACCAGGUGCUGUGA